RNAcentral lists this ribosomal RNA (492 nucleotides) under uncultured bacterium. RNAcentral describes it as "partial 16S ribosomal RNA". It matches the Rfam family "Bacterial small subunit ribosomal RNA", at positions 29 to 507 of the family's 1533-position model. The record is from RNAcentral.
AGUGAACGCUGGCGGUAGGCCUAACACAUGCAAGUCGAACGGCAGCACAGUAAGAGCUUGCUCUUACGGGUGGCGAGUGGCGGACGGGUGAGGAAUACAUCGGAAUCUACUUUUUCGUGGGGGAUAACGUAGGGAAACUUACGCUAAUACCGCAUACGACCUACGGGUGAAAGCAGGGGAUCUUCGGACCUUGCGCGAUUGAAUGAGCCGAUGUCGGAUUAGCUAGUUGGCGGGGUAAAGGCCCACCAAGGCGACGAUCCGUAGCUGGUCUGAGAGGAUGAUCAGCCACACUGGAACUGAGACACGGUCCAGACUCCCACGGGAGGCAGCAGUGGGGAAUAUUGGACAAUGGGCGCAAGCCUGAUCCAGCCAUACCGCGUGGGUGAAGAAGGCCUUCGGGUUGUAAAGCCCUUUUGUUGGGAAAGAAAAGCAGCAGGUUAAUACCCCGUUGUUCUGACGGUACCCAAAGAAUAAGCACCGGCUAACUUCGUG